CAGCACCAUGCUUUCAGGAAUAUUUUCUAUAGCCGGUAACUAGAGAAUUGUGCUUGAAUGAGCCUUGCCUCGCUCUUUAAGAUGAUGAACUGGAAGGUUUUCAACAUGACGGAGGCAGGAAGUGCUUUGUUGAUGAAGCUGUGUUAUGCUUUUGAUGAUUGCUCUGUUUUUCCAGUAAGAAAAGUAGAUGACAAUCUCUUCUGAGUGGU
This is a small nucleolar RNA of Hemicordylus capensis (graceful crag lizard), 209 nucleotides long. RefSeq annotates it as small nucleolar RNA U3. The transcript has a single exon. The record is from RefSeq and is a predicted model, not a curated record. NCBI's taxonomy places the organism in Eukaryota, Metazoa, Chordata, Lepidosauria, Squamata, Cordylidae.